AUUCGGGACAGCAUGUGUAGGAUAGGUGGGAGACUUUGAAGCUGGCACGCCAGUGUCGGUGGAGUCGUCCUUGAAAUACCACCCUUGUUCUUCUGGAUGUCUAACCUAGGCCCGUGAUCCGGGUCGGGGACAUUGCCUGGUGGGUAGUUUGACUGGGGCGGUCGCCUCCCAAANNNNNNNAGAGUGCAAAGGCAUAAGGGAGCUUGACUGCAAGACAUACACGUCGAGCAGGUGCGAAAGCAGGUCUUAGUGAUCCGGCGGUUCUGUAUGGAAGGGCCGUCGCUCAACGGAUAAAAGGUACUCCGGGGAUAACAGGCUUAUCUNNGGCUUAUCUCCCCCAAGAGUUCACAUCGACGGGGAGGUUUGGCACCUCGAUGUCGGCUCAUCACAUCCUGGGGCUGUAGCCGGUCCCAAGGGUUUGGCUGUUCGCCAAUUAAAGUGGUACGCGAGCUGGGUUUAAAACGUCGUGAGACAGUUUGGUCCCUAUCUGCCGUGGGCGCAGGAGAUUUGAGAGGAUCUGUCCUUAGUACGAGAGGACCGGGAUGGACGAACCUCUGGUGUUCCAGUUGUCACGCCAGUGGCAAUGGCUGGGUAGCUAUGUUCGGAAAGGAUAACCGCUGAAAGCAUCUAAGCGGGAAGCCCUCCUCAAGACGAGAUCUCCCUGGACUUCGGUCCCUGAAGGUCCGUUGGAGACUACAACGUUGAUAGGCCGGGUGUGUACGCACAGCAAUGUGUUCAGCUAACCGGUACUAAUCGACCGUGAGGCUUGACCAUAAAA
This 778-nucleotide ribosomal RNA is filed under the name Deltaproteobacteria bacterium. Its description in RNAcentral is "partial 23S ribosomal RNA". It matches the Rfam family "Bacterial large subunit ribosomal RNA", at positions 2122 to 2925 of the family's 2925-position model. The record is from RNAcentral. Lineage: Bacteria; Pseudomonadati; Myxococcota; Myxococcia.